This 62-nucleotide transfer RNA is filed under the name Aepyprymnus rufescens (rufous rat-kangaroo). RNAcentral describes it as "tRNA-Lys". The record is from RNAcentral. Lineage: Eukaryota; Metazoa; Chordata; Mammalia; Diprotodontia; Potoroidae.
CAUUUUUGAGAAACUUAAAGCAAAUACUAUAAGUAUUACAUGACUUAAAAAUCCUCAAAACC